CCCCGUGUGGCUCAGUUGGUAGAGCGUGGUGUUUGCAACGCCAGGGUUGUGGGUUUGAUUCCCACGGGGG
Molecule: transfer RNA, 70 nt
Filed under: Salmo salar (Atlantic salmon)
Lineage: Eukaryota; Metazoa; Chordata; Actinopteri; Salmoniformes; Salmonidae
Rfam family: tRNA
About the family: Transfer RNA (tRNA) molecules are approximately 80 nucleotides in length. Their secondary structure includes four short double-helical elements and three loops (D, anti-codon, and T loops).
Source: Rfam by way of RNAcentral